This 72-nucleotide transfer RNA is filed under the name Sphingomonas sp. Its description in RNAcentral is "tRNA-Cys". It matches the Rfam family "tRNA". Rfam says of the family: Transfer RNA (tRNA) molecules are approximately 80 nucleotides in length. Their secondary structure includes four short double-helical elements and three loops (D, anti-codon, and T loops). Further hydrogen bonds mediate the characteristic L-shaped molecular structure. tRNAs have two regions of fundamental functional importance: the anti-codon, which is responsible for specific mRNA codon recognition, and the 3' end, to which the tRNAs corresponding amino acid is attached (by aminoacyl-tRNA synthetases). tRNAs cope with the degeneracy of the genetic code in two manners: having more than one tRNA (with a specific anti-codon) for a particular amino acid; and 'wobble' base-pairing, i.e. permitting non-standard base-pairing at the 3rd anti-codon position. Lineage: Bacteria; Pseudomonadati; Pseudomonadota; Alphaproteobacteria; Sphingomonadales; Sphingomonadaceae. The record is from RNAcentral.
GCGGGUGUAGCUCAAGGGUAGAGCGCCAGGUUGCAAGUCUGGAGGUCGCUGGUUCGAGUCCAGUCAGCCGCA